This is a long non-coding RNA of Frieseomelitta varia, 675 nucleotides long. RefSeq lists it as uncharacterized. The transcript has 3 exons. The record is from RefSeq and is a predicted model, not a curated record. Lineage: Eukaryota; Metazoa; Arthropoda; Insecta; Hymenoptera; Apidae.
UUUUGGUAGGUUCUAGUGUUGAAAAUUCAGCUUCUGUCGGAUUUUGUUUCCAAGGAGACGACGAGCGACGUGUUUUAAUAAAAUCGAGAGAUCUUGACGCGCGUCAUCACGACGCAAAUAUUUAUUGGACGUUAAUCGUGGAACGAGGCGAGGGAGGAUCCCCUUGGAUUGAGAAAGAACCAACACCCAGAGGAUCGGUGGAGAAACGUGACGAUCGUUACGCUGAAGGCGCGAUACUUUCCCGUGACGUAACUGAAAGAAGAUAUAAGAUAGUAACCUAACUGAAGUAUGUAUAUACAUAUACAGCAGAACGAGAAGUGAUAUCAGACAGUAGUUGGUCAGACAACGCCUAUGUUCUGGUUAAUACUAAUUACUUGUUUCAAAUUCUCGAUUCAAUUACUAUCGGGGUAAUUACGUAAAAGUAUAUGUGAGUAUACUAACAAUACGUAUCUAAUAAUAGAUGUCGUAAAACGAUUAUUUACUCGCGUUUUCCUCCAGCUGAUUGCGAGGAAUUGAACAGGGAGGCGACAAGAAGUCGCGAGGAAUUGAAGAUGUUCCAACGUCACUGACUGAUGAGCAACGAAGAUUAAUCGUUUGCAGCACCUGUUGGCAAGAUGAAAAAGACCCGUAACUGCGAGCCAAUCCUUGCGAGAAAAGGAACGGGAAGGAUGCCGC